Molecule: ribosomal RNA, 714 nt
Filed under: Enterobacter sp. ESA 0006
Lineage: Bacteria; Pseudomonadati; Pseudomonadota; Gammaproteobacteria; Enterobacterales; Enterobacteriaceae
Also listed under: 1 other name
Description: bacterial SSU rRNA
Rfam family: Bacterial small subunit ribosomal RNA
Source: RNAcentral
CCCCUGGACAAAGACUGACGCUCAGGUGCGAAAGCGUGGGGAGCAAACAGGAUUAGAUACCUGGUAGUGCACGCCGUAAACGAUGUCGACUUGGAGGUUGUGCCCUUGAGGCGUGGCUUCCGGAGCUAACGCGUUAAGUCGACCGCCUGGGGAGUACGGCCGCAAGGUUAAAACUCAAAUGAAUUGACGGGGGCCCGCACAAGCGGUGGAGCAUGUGGUUUAAUUCGAUGCAACGCGAAGAACCUUACCUACUCUUGACAUCCAGAGAACUUAGCAGAGAUGGAUUGGUGCCUUCGGGAACUCUGAGACAGGUGCUGCAUGGCUGUCGUCAGCUCGUGUUGUGAAAUGUUGGGUUAAGUCCCGCAACGAGCGCAACCCUUAUCCUUUGUUGCCAGCGGUCCGGCCGGGAACUCAAAGGAGACUGCCAGUGAUAAACUGGAGGAAGGUGGGGAUGACGUCAAGUCAUCAUGGCCCUUACGAGUAGGGCUACACACGUGCUACAAUGGCGCAUACAAAGAGAAGCGACCUCGCGAGAGCAAGCGGACCUCAUAAAGUGCGUCGUAGUCCGGAUUGGAGUCUGCAACUCGACUCCAUGAAGUCGGAAUCGCUAGUAAUCGUAGAUCAGAAUGCUACGGUGAAUACGUUCCCGGGCCUUGUACACACCGCCCGUCACACCAUGGGAGUGGGUUGCAAAAGAAGUAGGUAGCUUAACCU